ACUGCUCAGUAACACGUGGACAACCUGCCCUUAGGUUGGGUAUAAACCCGGGAAACUGGGUAUAAUACCCGAUAGGUCUCGAUUGCUGGAAUGCAUCGAGAUUUAAAGCUCCGGCGCCUAAGGAUGGGUCUGCGGCCUAUCAGGUAGUAGUGGGUGUAGCGUACCUACUAGCCUACGACGGGUACGGGUUGUGAGAGCAAGAGCCCGGAGAUGGAUUCUGAGACACGAAUCCAGGCCCUACGGGGUGCAGCAGGCGCGAAAACUUUACAAUGCUGGCAACAGCGAUAAGGGAACCUCGAGUGCCAGGUUACAAAUCUGGCUGUCGAGAUGCCUAAAAAGCAUUUCAUAGCAAGGGCCGGGCAAGACCGGUGCCAGCCGCCGCGGUAACACCGGCGGCUCGAGUGGUAACCGUUAUUAUUGGGUCUAAAGGGUCUGUAGCCGGCCGGAUAAGUCUCUUGAGAAAUCUGACAGCUUAACUGUCAGGCUUUCAGGAGAUACUGUCUGGCUCGAGGCCGGGAGAGGUGGGAGGUACUUCAGGGGUAGGGGUGAAAUCUUGUAAUCCUUGAAGGACCACCAGUGGCGAAGGCGUCUCACCAGAACGGACCUGACGGCAAGGGACGAAAGCUAGGGGCACGAACCGGAUUAGAUACCCGGGUAGUCCUAGCCGUAAACGAUACUCGCUAGGUGUCGGCCACGGUGCGACCGUUGUCGGUGCCGUAGGGAAGCCGUGAAGCGAGCCACCUGGGAAGUACGGCCGCAAGGCUGAAACUUAAAGGAAUUGGCGGGGGAGCAC
This 793-nucleotide ribosomal RNA is filed under the name uncultured archaeon. RNAcentral describes it as "bacterial SSU rRNA". It matches the Rfam family "Archaeal small subunit ribosomal RNA", at positions 85 to 879 of the family's 1478-position model. The record is from RNAcentral.